GAUGAACGCUAGCGAUAGGCCUAACACAUGCAAGUCGAGGGGCAUCACAUGAAGUAGCAAUACGGAUGGUGGCGACCGGCGCACGGGUGAGUAACACGUAUGCAACCUGCCUUCAACAAGGGGAUAACCCGUUGAAAGACGGACUAAUACCCUAUAACACAGGGGUCCCGCAUGGGAAUAUUUGUUAAAGGACAACCGGUUGAAGAUGGGCAUGCGUUCCAUUAGCUAGUUGGCGGGGUAACGGCCCACCAAGGCAACGAUGGAUAGGGGAACUGAGAGGUUUAUCCCCCACACUGGUACUGAGACACGGACCAGACUCCUACGGGAGGCAGCAGUGAGGAAUAUUGGUCAAUGGACGCAAGUCUGAACCAGCCACGUCGCGUGAAGGAAGACGGCCCUACGGGUUGUAAACUUCUUUUAUACGGGAAUAAAGUGCCCCACGUGUGGGGUUUUGCAAGUACCGUAUGAUAAGGAUCGGCUAACUCCGUG
RNAcentral lists this ribosomal RNA (489 nucleotides) under uncultured bacterium. RNAcentral describes it as "bacterial SSU rRNA". It matches the Rfam family "Bacterial small subunit ribosomal RNA", at positions 28 to 507 of the family's 1533-position model. The record is from RNAcentral.